CCUACGGGUGGCAGCAGUGGGGAAUAUUGCGCAAUGGGCGAAAGCCUGACGCAGCGACGCCGCGUGGGUGAUGAAGGCCUUCGGGUUGUAAAGCCCUGUCGGGUGGAACGAACGAUCUGGCGGCGAAUAACCGCCGGGUGUGACGGUACCACCGAAGGAAGCCCCGGCUAACUACGUGCCAGCAGCCGCGGUAAGACGCAGGGGGCGAGCGUUGUUCAGAUUUGUAGGCGGCAAGGUGCGCGUAGGCGGAAAUCCCUCGGCUUAACCGAGGUCCCGCAUCCGAUACUGUCUGGCUCGAGUCUAGGAGAGGAAAGCGGAAUUCCCAGUGUAGCGGUGAAAUGCGUAGAUAUUGGGAGGAACACCGGUGGCGAAGGCGGCUUUCCGGACUAGUACUGACGCUGAGGCGCGAAAGCUAGGGGAGCGAACGGGAUUAGAUACCCUAGUAGUC
RNAcentral lists this ribosomal RNA (448 nucleotides) under uncultured bacterium. RNAcentral's name for it is "partial 16S ribosomal RNA". It matches the Rfam family "Bacterial small subunit ribosomal RNA", at positions 338 to 795 of the family's 1533-position model. The record is from RNAcentral.